UUUCCACUAAUAACUAUUCGGAUUAGCUCUCCUCAUAGCAUAGGCAUGCCACUAUUAUAGCAUAGCUUAGGAUUCCGUGCUUUAUGAUGUACAGUACCCCAAGAAACUAUUUCUUCAUUUUCCAAUAUAAAGCAUUUAUGAUGUUGCAUUUACUUUCUUUUCAAGCAGACCAAACCUCCCACAUAGAAACUUUUCUGGGUACAAAUGAUUUGCCAUCU
Molecule: long non-coding RNA, 218 nt
Filed under: Elaeis guineensis (African oil palm)
Lineage: Eukaryota; Viridiplantae; Streptophyta; Magnoliopsida; Arecales; Arecaceae
Description: long non-coding RNA (EGUI_LNC077740)
Source: RNAcentral